GUCGCAUGCUCCCGGCCGCCAUGGCGGCCGCGGGAAUUCGAUUAGAGUUUGAUCAUGGCUCAGAACGAACGCUGGGGGCAUGCCUAACACAUGCAAGUCGAACGAGAUCUUCGGGUCUAGUGGCGCACGGGUGCGUAACGCGUGGGAAUCUGCCCUCAGGUUCGGAAUAACCAUUGGAAACGAUGGCUAAUACCGGAUGAUGACGUUAAGUCCAAAGAUUUAUCGCCUGAGGAUGAGCCCGCGUAGGAUUAGCUAGUUGGUGUGGUAGAGGCGCACCAAGGCGACGAUCCUUAGCUGGUCUGAGAGGAUGAUCAGCCACACUGGGACUGAGACACGGCCCAGACUCCUACGGGAGGCAGCAGUGGGGAAUAUUGGACAAUGGGCGCAAGCCUGAUCCAGCAAUGCCGCGUGAGUGAUGAAGGCCUUAGGGUUGUAAAGCUCUUUUACCCGGGAUGAUAAUGACAGUACCGGGAGAAUAAGCUCCGGCUAACUCCGUGCCAGCAGCCGCGGUAAUACGAAUCACUAGUGAAUUCGCGGCCGCCUGCAGGUCGACCAUAUGGGAGAGCUCCCAA
This 572-nucleotide ribosomal RNA is filed under the name uncultured Alphaproteobacteria bacterium. RNAcentral describes it as "partial 16S ribosomal RNA". It matches the Rfam family "Bacterial small subunit ribosomal RNA", at positions 1 to 599 of the family's 1533-position model. Lineage: Bacteria; Pseudomonadati; Pseudomonadota; Alphaproteobacteria. The record is from RNAcentral.